Molecule: long non-coding RNA, 221 nt
Filed under: Homo sapiens (human)
Lineage: Eukaryota; Metazoa; Chordata; Mammalia; Primates; Hominidae
Description: HSALNT0106397
Source: RNAcentral
CUCAGCCUAGGUGAUACAUGGCUUGUCUGGACAGGCUGUUACCAGCAGGCAGACUCUGAGAUCCAGCCUUCAUAGGGGCUACUGUUACCUUACUCACUUAUUUUAAUUCUGUAAUGUCUAUCCAACUGGACAGAGUCACUAGUAAUAAUGUCCUUCAGUGGAUCACUGCUGUCCAUUCCCAACUUUUGCAUAAAACGAAGACCCAAAGGAGAAGAAAGUGG